Molecule: long non-coding RNA, 484 nt
Organism: Saccostrea cuccullata (small rock oyster)
Lineage: Eukaryota; Metazoa; Mollusca; Bivalvia; Ostreida; Ostreidae
Exons: 4
Source: RefSeq, a predicted model, not a curated record
AAACUUUCAUACCCAGACUGAGACCCAAGGGACCAAAGAUUCAUAAAAGGGUUAGUCACUGCAUAAAGGCAAAGAGUUUUAGAACAUGGAACAUGAAAUUACAGAAAUUCCAGAUUUUUUCCAAACCUAAAAAACUGUAGGGUCAGGUGCGAAAAAUUAAGGAUAUUGGAACAAAAUAAGAAGAAUAAUUGUCAAGUGCCCACUGAUGCUGGAGUCCAUGCUGUAGAAAAGACAUGAAACAGACGUGAGAAAAUGUCGACAUCAGUCAUCUAUGAAGAUGGAGAUUGCCUCUAUUCUAAAAUUUCCGAGGAAAAUGGUGUUGUCUGCCUCAUCCAAUGAUCACUCCAUUUGCAGACUACCAGGUUUCAAUCUGAAGUAUACAUAGGAAGAGCAAAAUCUUUCUCAUUCAUAUACAAUGUAAACACUUACAACCUGUGAUCCAGAAAAAUGUCCUGAUUGUUUAGUCCAACAUAAGAUGGAUUUC